This is a long non-coding RNA of Mesocricetus auratus (golden hamster), 202 nucleotides long. RefSeq lists it as uncharacterized. The transcript has 3 exons. NCBI's taxonomy places the organism in Eukaryota, Metazoa, Chordata, Mammalia, Rodentia, Cricetidae. The record is from RefSeq and is a predicted model, not a curated record.
GACGCCAUGGGGGUAGGACGCUGGGAACUAUUCUCCGGCUCUUUCUCCUCUGUUCAUUAAUUCAACGAAUGGCAUCAUCUUCUGUACCAGUGGAGAAGCCAGAACCCAGUGUUGGGUGAUUAGAGAAAGGCUGGCUCCUGCACCGUCUGUAGAAAAUCUGACAUCAAGGAAGAAGUAAAGUUACUCACGGCUGAGUGGAAGG